Molecule: transfer RNA, 74 nt
Filed under: Enterobacter cloacae subsp. cloacae
Lineage: Bacteria; Pseudomonadati; Pseudomonadota; Gammaproteobacteria; Enterobacterales; Enterobacteriaceae
Description: tRNA-Asp
Rfam family: tRNA
About the family: Transfer RNA (tRNA) molecules are approximately 80 nucleotides in length. Their secondary structure includes four short double-helical elements and three loops (D, anti-codon, and T loops).
Source: RNAcentral
GGAGCAGUAGUUCAGUCGGUUGAAUACCUGCCUGUCACGCAGGGGUCGCGGGUUCGAGUCCCGUCCGUUCGCCA